Molecule: ribosomal RNA, 253 nt
Filed under: uncultured bacterium
Lineage: Bacteria
Description: partial 16S ribosomal RNA
Rfam family: Bacterial small subunit ribosomal RNA
Source: RNAcentral
UACGUAGGGUGCGAGCGUUGUCCGGAAUUAUUGGGCGUAAAGAGCUCGUAGGCGGUCUGUCGCGUCGAAUGUGAAAACCCGGGGCUCAACUCCGGGCUUGCAUUCGAUACGGGCAGACUAGAGUUCGGUAGGGGAGACUGGAAUUCCUGGUGUAGCGGUGAAAUGCGCAGAUAUCAGGAGGAACACCGGUGGCGAAGGCGGGUCUCUGGGCCGAUACUGGCGCUGAGGAGCGAAAGCGUGGGGAGCAAACAGG